Molecule: ribosomal RNA, 373 nt
Filed under: uncultured organism
Description: partial 16S ribosomal RNA
Rfam family: Bacterial small subunit ribosomal RNA
Source: RNAcentral
GUAGGUGGCAAGCGUUGUCCGGAAUUAUUGGGCGUAAAGCGCGCGCAGGCGGUCCUUUAAGUCUGAUGUGAAAGCCCACGGCUCAACCGUGGAGGGUCAUUGGAAACUGGGGGACUUGAGUACAGAAGAGGAAAGCGGAAUUCCAAGUGUAGCGGUGAAAUGCGUAGAGAUUUGGAGGAACACCAGUGGCGAAGGCGGCUUUCUGGUCUGCAACUGACGCUGAGGCGCGAAAGCGUGGGGAGCAAACAGGGAUUAGAUACCCUGGUAGUCCACGCCGUAAACGAUGAGUGCUAAGUGUUAGGGGGGUUUCCGCCCCCUUAGUGCUGCAGCUAACGCAUUAAGCACUCCGCCUGGGGAUACGGCCGCAAGGCUG